CCUCCGGUANGGGGNCCUGCGGAAGGAUCAUUAAAGAUUAUGAAUGAAUAGAUUACUGGGGGAAUCGUCUGAACAAGGCCUGCGCUUAAUUGCGCGGCCAGUUCUUGAUUCUCUGCUAUCAGUUUUCUAUUUCUCAUCCUAAACACAAUGGAGUUUUUUCUCUAUGAACUACUUCCCUGGAGAGCUCGUCUCUCCAGUGGACAUAAACACAAACAAUAUUUUGUAUUAUGAAAAACUAUUAUACUAUAAAAUUUAAUAUUCAAAACUUUCAACAACGGAUCUCUUGGUUCUCGCAUCGAUGAAGAACGCAGCGAAUUGCGAUAUGUAUUGUGAAUUGCAGAUUUUCGUGAAUCAUCAAAUCUUUGAACGCACAUUGCGCCCUCUGGUAUUCCAGGGGGCAUGCCUGUUUGAGCGUCAUUUCUCUCUCAAACCUUUGGGUUUGGUAGUGAGUGAUACUCGUCUCGGGUUAACUUGAAAGUGGCUAGCCGUUGCCAUCUGCGUGAGCAGGGCUGCGUGUCAAGUCUAUGGACUCGACUCUUGCACAUCUACGUCUUAGGUUUGCGCCAAUUCGUGGUAAGCUUGGGUCAUAGAGACUCAUAGGUGUUAUAAAGACUCGCUGGUGUUUGUCUCCUUGAGGCAUACGGCUUUAACCAAAACUCUCAAAGUUUGACCUCAAAUCAGGUAGGAGUACCCGCUGAACUUAAGCAUAUCAAUAAGCCGGAGGA
This 725-nucleotide ribosomal RNA is filed under the name Kluyveromyces marxianus. RNAcentral describes it as "eukaryotic LSU rRNA". The stretch from base 264 to 417 matches the Rfam family "5.8S ribosomal RNA". The record is from RNAcentral. Lineage: Eukaryota; Fungi; Ascomycota; Saccharomycetes; Saccharomycetales; Saccharomycetaceae.